GAUUCAGUCUAUACCACCCUGAACAUGCCCGAUUCCGUCUGAUCUCUGAAGCUAAGCAGGGAAGGUACCUGGUUAGUACUUGGAUGGGAGACAGAGAGAUUUGCACUGUCCUCUUGAUUCU
This 121-nucleotide ribosomal RNA is filed under the name Carlito syrichta (Philippine tarsier). The record is from RNAcentral. Lineage: Eukaryota; Metazoa; Chordata; Mammalia; Primates; Tarsiidae.